UCCGGUUUGUCACCGGCAGUCUCAUUAGAGUGCCCUUUCGUAGCAACUAAUGACAAGGGUUGCGCUCGUUGCGGGACUUAACCCAACAUCUCACGACACGAGCUGACGACAGCCAUGCAGCACCUGUGUUCCGGUUCCCUUUCAGGCACACCCAGCUCUCACCAGGCUUCCAGACAUGUUAAGGGUAGGUAAGGUUGUUCGCGUUGCAUCGAAUUAAUCCACAUCAUCCACCGCUUGUGCGGGUCCCCGUCAAUUCCUUUGAGUUUUAACCUUGCGGCCGUACUCCCCAGGCGGUCGACUUCACGCGUUAGCUACGGUACUGGGAAAUCGCUUCCCCAACACCCAGUCGACAUCGUUUAGGGCGUGGACUAC
RNAcentral lists this unclassified non-coding RNA (372 nucleotides) under uncultured Gammaproteobacteria bacterium. RNAcentral describes it as "contains 16S-23S intergenic spacer region". The record is from RNAcentral. Lineage: Bacteria; Pseudomonadati; Pseudomonadota; Gammaproteobacteria.